This 458-nucleotide ribosomal RNA is filed under the name uncultured bacterium. RNAcentral describes it as "bacterial SSU rRNA". It matches the Rfam family "Bacterial small subunit ribosomal RNA", at positions 15 to 518 of the family's 1533-position model. The record is from RNAcentral.
GAUCCUGGCUCAGAACGAACGCUGGCGGCAGGCCUAACACAUGCAAGUCGAGCGCGCCCUUCGGGGUGAGCGGCGGACGGGUUAGUAACGCGUGGGAACGUACCCUUUGGUAGGGAAUAGCCACUGGAAACGGUGAGUAAUACCCUAUGAGCCCUUCGGGGGAAAGAUUUAUCGCCAAAGGAUCGGCCCGCGUUAGAUUAGGUAGUUGGUGGGGUAAUGGCCUACCAAGCCUACGAUCUAUAGCUGGUUUUAGAGGAUGAUCAGCAACACUGGGACUGAGACACGGCCCAGACUCCUACGGGAGGCAGCAGUGGGGAAUCUUGGACAAUGGGGGCAACCCUGAUCCAAGCCAUGCCGCGUGAGUGAAGAAGGCCUUAGGGUCGUAAAGCUCUUUCGCCUGUGAAGAUAAUGACGGUAGCAGGUAAAGAAACCCCGGCUAACUCCGUGCCAGCAGCAGC